CGAGGAGUUGCUUUCUACUUUUUUUGACUGCCUGUAUAGUUCUUUUAGGGCGAGUCCAUUGGAUUCGUUCUACUCUCCUUUCAUCUGAUGUCGUUCAUAGAAUUCCACUACCAACAAAAAAAGGCUCACUACAGACAAAAGGCUUUGGUGCGUGCAUCUCCUUUCCUUCACGGGUUGAUGGCGUCCUUUGGAUGAAAGAUUCUAGUGCAUGCAUCUGCUUUUCUUUAUGGGUUAAUGGCGUCUUCUACUCGAUUUGUCUUGUAGCCUUUUCAUCUUCCUUUUCUUCCUCCUCUCUCUCAACUGGGUUAACAGGUCCGAUUCGUCUGCAAAUUAUUCUUGGUGUCACCGAUCUUCAGAUCCAGAGUUUGGCAAAGCCGAAGAAGUGAGAUAAUGAACGCUUGGUGCAUUUAGGUUUCUGAAGGAUUCUAUUUGCUUAAGUUCUGAGCACUUUUACCAUAUGAUCAAUGUAUUAGAACUCUUCUUGAACUGCAUGACAGAACCAAAUGAGAAGCUUAUGGAAUUUGGAGCAGGAUGAAUCUAGAACUUUUCUGUUGCUCAAGGCCUCACCCUCUUAGUCUUGGUGACUUCUAAUCAACAAGCAAUUGUUUCAUGCAACUGGGGUGUUGAGGAAUAUGGCUUAUCUACAUCCUCCACAUUUAAUGAAGGUUCAAGGCCUAGAUAACUCAUUAUAAAAAUUUUACAAAUCAUGGCUUGCUUCCAGUAACUCUCCAGUGUAAGUGUAAUGCUAGUACUUGGCUCAACCUCAUUGUAAGGCUUAAUCUUUGUAUUUGAAGAAGAUAUUAACUGUCACGUACGGCGAAUACAAAAAACUUUGUGCAAUGUUUCUAUA
Long non-coding RNA from Tripterygium wilfordii, 850 nucleotides. RefSeq lists it as uncharacterized. The transcript is spliced from 5 exons. Lineage: Eukaryota; Viridiplantae; Streptophyta; Magnoliopsida; Celastrales; Celastraceae. The record is from RefSeq and is a predicted model, not a curated record.